GACGAACGCUGGCGGCGUGCUUAACACAUGCAAGUCGAACGGAAAGGCCCUGCUUUUGUGGGGUGCUCGAGUGGCGAACGGGUGAGUAACACGUGAGUAACCUGCCCUUGACUUUGGGAUAACUUCAGGAAACUGGGGCUAAUACCGGAUAGGAGCUCCUGCUGCAUGGUGGGGGUUGGAAAGUUUCGGCGGUUGGGGAUGGACUCGCGGCUUAUCAGCUUGUUGGUGGGGUAGUGGCUUACCAAGGCUUUGACGGGUAGCCGGCCUGAGAGGGUGACCGGCCACAUUGGGACUGAGAUACGGCCCAGACUCCUACGGGCGGCAGCAGUGGGGAAUCUUGCACAAUGGGCGGAAGCCUGAUGCAGCAACGCCGCGUGCGGGAUGACGGCCUUCGGGUUGUAAACCGCUUUCGCCUGUGACGAAGCGUGAGUGACGGUAAUGGGUAAAGAAGCACCGGCUAACUACGUG
This 468-nucleotide ribosomal RNA is filed under the name uncultured bacterium. Its description in RNAcentral is "partial 16S ribosomal RNA". It matches the Rfam family "Bacterial small subunit ribosomal RNA", at positions 28 to 507 of the family's 1533-position model. The record is from RNAcentral.